Molecule: transfer RNA, 69 nt
Filed under: Ictidomys tridecemlineatus (thirteen-lined ground squirrel)
Lineage: Eukaryota; Metazoa; Chordata; Mammalia; Rodentia; Sciuridae
Description: Spermophilus tridecemlineatus (thirteen-lined ground squirrel) tRNA
Rfam family: tRNA
About the family: Transfer RNA (tRNA) molecules are approximately 80 nucleotides in length. Their secondary structure includes four short double-helical elements and three loops (D, anti-codon, and T loops).
Source: Rfam by way of RNAcentral
GGGGUUGUGGCUCAGUGGUAGAGCACUUUCCUGGCAUGUGUGAGGCACUGGGUUCAAUCCUCAACACCA